AGAUUGAACGCUGGCGGCAUGCCUUACACAUGCAAGUCGAACGGCAGCACGGGAGCAAUCCUGGUGGCGAGUGGCGAACGGGUGAGUAAUAUAUCGGAACGUGCCCAGUCGUGGGGGAUAACGUAGAGAAAUUUACGCUAAUACCGCAUACGAUCUAAGGAUGAAAGCGGGGGACCUUCGGGCCUCGCGCGAUUGGAGCGGCUGAUAUCAGAUUAGGUUGUUGGUGAGGUAAAAGCUCACCAAGCCGACGAUCUGUAGCUGGUUUGAGAGAACGACCAGCCACACUGGACUGAGACACGGCCAGACUCCUACGGAGGCAGCAGUGGGAAUUUUGGACAAUGGGCGAAAGCCUGAUCCAGUCAAUGCCGCGUGCAGGGAGAAGGCCUUCGGUGUAACUGCUUUGUACGAAGAAAGGUCUGACCUAAUACGG
RNAcentral lists this ribosomal RNA (430 nucleotides) under uncultured soil bacterium. Its description in RNAcentral is "bacterial SSU rRNA". It matches the Rfam family "Bacterial small subunit ribosomal RNA", at positions 26 to 464 of the family's 1533-position model. The record is from RNAcentral.